GGCAGUUCUUGGGUGACGCACCCCAGAAUCGGGCUCCCUCCUCUCUGGUUUUUGGGGUGUGUCACCCAAAAACCGCA
Myotis davidii is the source of this 77-nucleotide non-coding RNA. The record is from Rfam. NCBI's taxonomy places the organism in Eukaryota, Metazoa, Chordata, Mammalia, Chiroptera, Vespertilionidae.